Gopherus flavomarginatus (Mexican gopher tortoise) is the source of this 273-nucleotide long non-coding RNA. RefSeq lists it as uncharacterized. The transcript is spliced from 3 exons. The record is from RefSeq and is a predicted model, not a curated record. NCBI's taxonomy places the organism in Eukaryota, Metazoa, Chordata, Testudines, Testudinidae.
UCCCCCUUGCUCUGCCCAUUCACCCCCCGGCUCUUCCCCCCGGGAGUCCCCCCCCCGCUCUGCCCAUUCACCCCACGGCUCUUCCCCCCGGGAUACCCCCCCCCUUCUGCCCAUUCACCCCACGGCUCUUCCCCCCGGGAGUCCCUCCCCCCCCCCGCUCUGCCCAUUCACCCCACGGCUCUUCCCCCCGGGAUACCCCCCCCCUUCUGCCCAUUCACCCCACGGCUCUUCCCCCCGGGAGUCCCUCCCCCCCUCUGCUCUGCCCCAUUCACC